Molecule: long non-coding RNA, 4740 nt
Filed under: Homo sapiens (human)
Lineage: Eukaryota; Metazoa; Chordata; Mammalia; Primates; Hominidae
Description: HSALNT0305693
Source: RNAcentral
AAGGCCCCACCUCCUAAUACCAUCACACUGGGGCUUAGCACCUCAACAUAUCAAUUUUGGGGAAAUACAAUUCAGUUCACAGUGCAUAGAUAGAUAUUAAUUGAUAUUAUCAAAAGAAACCAUGGGCAGAUAAACCCAAAACCAAACUGUUUUAAUGGUUAUCUAUUGGGAAGAAAAAGAAACAGGGUGAACGGGAAGUUACAGAAGCAAGAUUUCUGUGACUGUAACUGGAUAAAUAGAGAGUUUGGGAGGACGAUAAGUGUUUUAUGUGAUUUUUAAAAAUUAAAGUAAACUGAAAUGAAUGAGUCUUCCUGCAUAUAAAGUGUGUGGCAUAACCACAUAAAGCAAACAAUUACUUAAAGUGGCUUUAAAACGCAGCAUUUUGACUAUACAUCCCAAGUGAGAGAUAUGCUAUGGACAAUAAAAAAAAGGAAAAGAAAAAAGGAAAGAAAUCAUAAAUGGCAUUCAGUAGCCAUAUAUUAGUAUUGACAUUUUUAUUAAAUUACUAUGUUUCCAUCAUUAGGAACCAUAAUUUUCAGUAUAAAAAUGACAUAGCAUAAAAUCAAGGAAGUUUAAGUAAAAAUCUUGUAAUCUUAAAAGUGAAUUGGAAAUUGCAGUAUGAACUCACAUUGUGUUUUACUCUUUAAAAAAUACAUAUUUUCUAGUUCUGUCCACUGAAAAGACCCAGAAGCAAUGAAAACCCAGUAACAAUGAGCACACUUCCACGGCUGAACUCUCUAGAUAACAUUUACCAAUGAAAUUGGCUGAUUCUAAGUCUAGGGCAAAAAAUGUACAAAAGGAGACUGGAUACAAGUCUCUUAUUGUACCAGAAAGUGAAGGAGAAAUCAAAGACUAAUGAGGUCACGUUAAAGUGAUACAGGACGACACAGGGCCUGCCUGCAGCAGCUGGUCAAUAAUGAAGGGAUUAAUCCAUGACUGCAAGACUCGUGGGAAGGAGGGAGUGGGGACUGCAGGGAGGGUCCUAGUAAAAGCAGGGUGGGCCUCGAUGAGCACAGCAUGGACAGUGCGAUUUAAAUCCCAUCGCUUGUGGGCAGGAGGAGUGAGGAUGCCAGAACCUAGUUAUCCCCCACCAUCCCACGCUCUCCCAGGAGGCGGCGGCAGGAAGUGCAGUCUACAGUAAGGGAAAGCCGCCGGAGCUGGAGACAGGCUGGAAAGAGCAGGUAACAGCCCACAAGGAGCGGGGGCCCUGGCUGUCAGACUCAACUUGCAGGACCAUCAAGUGCAGGUGUGGUUCAAGAACCGGGGCCGCUUGCUCUGCGGUAGCAACGGCACAUAACCGCAGCGAUGACCAGGGCAGCCAAGCCAGCAGCCGGGACCCCGGGAUGCUCUUGGCACAUGAUCCGACUCCCCUGCCUUUGCGGGUCCUGUACUCCCGCGAGGUCCAGGAUUGUGCAGCCCCUCCCCAACCGGCCGUUGGGAAUCUUCGCAGCAGCAGAACCCGCUGCCUCCAGGUCCGACCAGACCUGCAUAGGUAGAGAGUCCCCGCACAGGGCGGCCAGCAGAGCUACCCAGCUGCCCCAGGGCCUCGGGACCCCUGGGCCUGGGACCCAGGCCAGACCCUGACUCAUUCGGUGAUCUCACAGGACUCCUCCCACCCCAAGACCCUUUCAGGGACCCUGCCUCGAACUCCACGACAUGGGAGGCAGGGGCGGGCCUUUUGCAGGGGAAGGACUCCCCCAGCAGGACGUUUACUGAAUCUGGAGGGAGUCGCCCUGCAGAUAUCCCGCGGAAGCCGGAGGAGACCCAGGUGCGCCCCACCGGCUAGCUGCGCCUGCGGGUGCCCAAAUUGGUGUCCGGGCCAUCCUCACCGCAGUGACUCCUCCGCAGCGCCAACGCACUCCAUUUUCCUUCCACCCUGCCGGUGGGGGGCGUUUGCUUGUUCUCACUCUGCAGCCGCAGCCAGUGGCGCCGCUACCAAGGUCCCCGCCUCGCCAUCCGGGUCCUGCCUGAGCAUCCUUAUUGGUGCUCAGGGCUAGGCGUGCAUUGCUGCUAGGGGCGCGGAAAGGUUUAUCGUGGGUGGAUGCUGCCCGGGGCUUGAGUGGUUUUUAGAGGUCUUGAGUGGCUCACUCUCCAAUCAGCGCUUUCUAGAGACAGCGUGGUCAGCGUACUUGCUUACUUUCAGGAUUGCGAGACGUCUUUAACCCUUGCUGAUCGGCUGACGCUGCAGCUUCCUGUGGCUUCCUGCUCAUUUCCCGCAAGAUAGCACUGAUAGGCAAUUCCAUUUUGGAAAAUUUAUCCUGAGGAAAUAAAUAAAGAUGUAAACAGAGAAUAACUUACAGAUGUGACGUUUGUGAUCGUUAAAACUGGAAACAGCGCAAGAGUGGACGAUAGGGGAUGAGAGAGCCACACAGCGCAUAGAAGAUGAUCAGUCUGAAGAGAGGGUUUUCAGACAUGCAAUUAACUGCUAUUCACUGUACUUCAUUUUAACUGCAAACUAGCAGUCUCUUUCCCCAGGAAAAAAGAGGUCAACUCGGAGGAGCCAGGGAUUCAGCCCACUCUGGACAACACUCAGAGCCAUGGCACCUACCUGUAUGAAAAAAAAUUGUUAAGCAGCUGCCACUCCUAGUUACUGGCCUCUGCUCGGUGACUGAUGCACUUCUAACAUCCUUGUCCCAGGAUAAAGACCUUGUAAUGGAGAAAAAAGAUGGCAGGGAUCCUUUCCAUGGAAUUUCGGCUGUUGUCUAGUGGACCUUCCAGGAAUUGUCUGAUUCUAUGGGAGUGCGCAACUUUGACUGUUCAGUUGGGCCAAUUGGCAACACUGUAGAGACGGAAACUAACUUGUGGAGGGCUGAGGGUGAUACAGACAUUUUCUGUCCGUGGUAAUGCAAAAGGUGUUCAUAGCAAUGCAAAUGGAUUUUAUCCAAUGGGGGAGAUAAAUAUUUGAACGGGCUCUCUUGUUAAUUACUAGUUAAUCAAAAUAUUUGACAUGUAUUCAUUCUAUAUUUAUAGGGGAGUCAUGAUUCUACCUUUUUGGAAAUGACCCUCUAGCAGUUUUAUUGGUCCUAUGAGAUACACAGUAGAUUCACCAGCCAGAGCCAGAUGAGCUGCACAGUUGCCAAAGGGAACUUCAGAUGCCACCAGAGCCUCAGCUCUGUCCUCCCUCACCUCCCAAGAAAGCCUGGAUCUUUGAGUUGUGUUGAUGGGCAUAUUCGUGUUUGCCACUUGAAGGAGUAAGAGGCCCGCGUGGAUCUGGAGGCAAGUGGCUGUGCCCUCCUGCAAUCUGCUCACCUGCAGAAAUGCUCGCGUAGGGCAGCUCUCAAUUUUCUGCCACCUCCUCAGCUUUUUCUGUGAAACAGAAGUUGGUUACUUUGGAUGAAAAUUAUCUUUCAUAUAGGUGGUUGGUACACGAAGCAAUAGUGACAAAUAAAACUCUGUGUGCGUGCUUCUGUUUUGUCAUGCAAUGAAAAGUAGUUUUGUUCCAGAAUAUGAAUGAACACAGUGAAUGAAGGUCUAAAGAAGUGAAUGUUAUUUGCCUUGGUUUAUAAUACCUGAGUCUGAAAAGAGACAUGAAGUAACUUAGAUCUUAGCAAAGUUUCCUCACUUUUGAUGGGCUUGCCGCCUUGGCUUACUGGUCACCGCCUUCAUCUACAGCAGGGGUCCCCAAUCCCCGGGCUAUGGUCCAGCAACAGUCCAUGGCCUGUUAGGAACCGGGCCACAUAGCAGGAGAUAAGCGGUGGUUACAGCUGCUCCCCAUCACUCACAGUACUGCCUGAGCUCUGCCUUCUGUCACGGUGGCAUGAGAUUCUCACAGGAGUAUGAACCCCUAUUGUAAACUGUGCAUGCAAGGCAUCUAGGUUGUAUGCUCCUUAUGAGAAUCUAAUGCCUGACAAUCUGUCACUCUCUCCCAUCACCCCCAGAUGGGACCAUCUAGUUGCAGGAAAAUAAGCUCAGGCCUCCACUGAUUCUAUAUUAUUGUGAGUUGUAUAAUUAUUUCAUUAUAUAUUACAAUGUAAUAAUAAUAGAAAUAAAGUGUACAAUAAAUGUAAUGUGCUUGAAUCAUCCAGAAACCAUCCCCCCAUCCCAGUCCGUGGAAAAAAUGUCUUCCAUGAAACCGGUUCCGGGCGCCAGAAAGGCUGGGGACCACUGACCUGCAGCACAAAGGCUAUUCUUUACCUUCCUUGUGGUCUGCCUGACAGCAAAAGUGUGUGUCUUGCCAGAAAAAUUUCUGUGCCUUAUGCUGACUUCAUUCAGUCCUUGAGUAUUUAAACAAAACAAUACAAAAACUCACUUGUGAAAGAGAUGAUUCUUUAAACUCAUGUCACCUUCUGUUUACUUUUACAUUUGUUUGCAUUAUUAAAAGAGUAAGCAAGAAUUAUUUCUUCAGCACCCAUGAUAUGCUCUGAGUCAAGUGCCUAAAUCUUCUCUGACAACUCUUUUGAUUUUUCCUUCUAGAGAUCAGAUCCUAAAUAUAGAAAGAGUAAAAGAAAACUUUUUAUCUUGAACUAAAACAUUCUUUGAAACUUCCCAGAGGGCCCCUGGAAAUUCACGAGAUUUGUACUUUCACCCUAUGAAGCAAGAGCAAGAGAGGCCAGAAGUAAUUAUGUUUAUUAUUCUUUAAUCAGCAUCUGAAGAGAUGCUCAGCCUCCCUAGGUUAAGUUUGUAUCAGUAAACUCAUUAUAAAUAGUUCAGACACUGCACACUUUGUAGGAAGGCCCUGAAGCUUUGCCAGUGCCCUCGUCGCCGUCCAUUGUAUGCUUUACCUUUAGUGAGACACUGAUC